This 789-nucleotide ribosomal RNA is filed under the name uncultured bacterium. RNAcentral describes it as "bacterial SSU rRNA". It matches the Rfam family "Bacterial small subunit ribosomal RNA", at positions 8 to 796 of the family's 1533-position model. The record is from RNAcentral.
AGAGUUUGAUCAUGGCUCAGAUUGAACGCUGGCGGCAUGCCUUACACAUGCAAGUCGAACGGCAGCGCGGGGCAACCUGGCGGCGAGUGGCGAACGGGUGAGUAAUAUAUCGGAACGUGCCCUGGAGUGGGGGAUAACGCAGCGAAAGUUGCGCUAAUACCGCAUACGAUCUAAGGAUGAAAGCAGGGGACCGCAAGGCCUUGUGCUCCUGGAGCGGCCGAUAUCUGAUUAGCUAGUUGGUGGGGUAAAGGCCUACCAAGGCAUCGAUCAGUAGCUGGUCUGAGAGGACGACCAGCCACACUGGAACUGAGACACGGUCCAGACUCCUACGGGAGGCAGCAGUGGGGAAUUUUGGACAAUGGGGGAAACCCUGAUCCAGCCAUUCCGCGUGAGUGAAGAAGGCCUUCGGGUUGUAAAGCUCUUUCGGCAGGAACGAAACGGUUACGGCGAAUACCCGUGACCACUGACGGUACCUGAAGAAGAAGCACCGGCUAACUACGUGCCAGCAGCCGCGGUAAUACGUAGGGUGCGAGCGUUAAUCGGAAUUACUGGGCGUAAAGCGUGCGCAGGCGGUUAUGCAAGCCAGACGUGAAAGCCCCGGGCUUAACCUGGGAAUGGCGUUUGGGACUGCAUGGCUAGAGUACGUCAGAGGGGGGUGGAAUUCCACGUAGCAGUGAAAUGCGUAGAGAUGUGGAGGAACACCGAUGGCGAAGGCAGCCCCCUGGGAUGAUACUGACGCUCAGGCACGAAAGCGUGGGGAGCAAACAGGAUUAGAUACCCUAGUAGUCC